AGCGAACGCUGGCGGCAGGCCUAACACAUGCAAGUCGAACGAACUCUUCGGAGUUAGUGGCGGACGGGUGAGUAACACGUGGGAACGUGCCUUUUGGUUCGGAAUAACUCAGGGAAACUUGUGCUAAUACCGAAUGUGCCCUUCGGGGGAAAGAUUUAUCGCCAUUAGAGCGGCCCGCGUCUGAUUAGCUAGUUGGUGAGGUAACGGCUCACCGAGGCGACGAUCAGUAGCUGGUCUGAGAGGAUGACCAGCCACACUGGGACUGAGACACGGCCCAGACUCCCACGGGAGGCAGCAGUGGGGAAUCUUGCGCAAUGGGCGAAAGCCUGACGCAGCCAUGCCGCGUGAAUGAUGAAGGUCUUAGGAUUGUAAAAUUCUUUCACCGGGGACGAUAAUGACGGUACCCGGAGAAGAAGCCCCGGCUAACUUCGUG
RNAcentral lists this ribosomal RNA (433 nucleotides) under uncultured bacterium. Its description in RNAcentral is "partial 16S ribosomal RNA". It matches the Rfam family "Bacterial small subunit ribosomal RNA", at positions 29 to 507 of the family's 1533-position model. The record is from RNAcentral.